Long non-coding RNA from Prosopis cineraria, 2028 nucleotides. RefSeq lists it as uncharacterized. The transcript has 3 exons. Lineage: Eukaryota; Viridiplantae; Streptophyta; Magnoliopsida; Fabales; Fabaceae. The record is from RefSeq and is a predicted model, not a curated record.
UUCAAACACUAACAACAUUCGUGGUGGACAAAAAGAGCGGUGGUGCCCGGAUAAGUGAGGUACAUGAUCUCAAUGGCUUGAGGGGGCAAAUAACAAUCGAAAACUUAGAAAGGCAGCGGAGUAAUACGAAAGAGGUUGAAUAUGUGAAGUACUGGAUGGCAUGCCAUGUCUUCAAGGAUUAUGUCUAUUGUGGUGGUCCGAAAGCCGAAAUGAUUAUACAGAAGAAGAUAUGCAUGACAAAGAUGGGAUAAUUUUAGAAGCUUUAGAGCCUCCUCAAACAAUCAAAGCAUUGCGUAUAAAUAGAUUUUGCGGCAAAUGGCUACCAGAUUGGAUACGGAAUCUCACCUCACUGCAAAUGCUAGAUGUUCGUGGUUGCUCUGCUUUGGCAUUACUUCAAGAUUCAAUAAAAAGUCUGUCAUCAUUGCAAGAACUUACACUCGAAGUUUGCUCUGCUUUGGUAUCACUUCCAGGUUCAAUUGGUAGUCUAUCUUCAUUGCGAGAACUUACACUCAAAGGUUGCUCUGCUUUGGCAUCACUCCCUGAUUCAAUAGGGAGUCUAUCAUCAUUGCAGAAACUUGCACUUAUAGAUUGCGAUGCUUUGGUAUCACUUCCAAAUUCAAUAGGGAGUUUGACAUCAUUACACGAACUGACUCUCGGUGGCUGCUAUGCUUUGACAGAAUGAUAUGGACGCCAAUUAGAGAGGAUGAAUUGGCCGGGAAUUGCUUACAACCCAAUGGUUUUUAUUUAAGAUGAUUAAAGAAUUGGUUCCUCUAUCUUCCAUUAGAAGUUUAUCAAGGUAUUUUAUCUACAACUUUUUUGUUCUCUUCGUGGGUAGUAGUUCAACGUAAUUUUCUUGAAUUGCAUUUACUUUUUUCCUUGUCCUGAUGUCUCUAUCUGUUUUUUUGGUGUGAUGUUUCUAUGUUACGUCUUCAAGAGAAGAUGCUGCCAGUUCUGCUUGUUCUUGUUGGAGGCGACUUUCUAAUCAUGUGUAAUUUGUUCAUAAGGACCAGAUUAUAUUUUCACUAUCAAAUUGUGGAAGUAAAAUGGAUUGUUCUGGUGCAUUAGGAUCUACUUCAAAGCUGUGGUUUGAAUUGGGGGUUUUUUCUUUUUUUUUUCGUUUUUUUUUUCUUUCUUUAGAAACUGUUUCACUUGUAAUCAAUUCUCGUAUUGUUUUCUUGUAUAUUAGUUCAAACCAGUAAGGAAAGUUUUCAAAUACUUGGGCUAGGCAUCUGCAAGAGAACAAUUGCAUUUGAUCUUACAUUAAUUGAUUAUCUCGUGCUGUUGAUGAAAAAUGUUUCUCCUUAGGAAUGACAAAGACGAGCAUAAAUUCAAGACGUGUUAAAGGCAAAGCGAUGUAGAAGGAAGCAGAAACAAAAAAUUACAAUUAUGAAGAUUCACUUGAAUUUUCUAACUUCAAGAAGCUACAUCAAAUGAAUUGAAAUCAAUGUGUUGACUAUGGAAGAUUGCCUAGUAGAGAAUCAGUAGAGAAUCUCACAUCAUUACAAUAUAUGGAUUUUGAAGUUUGUGUAAUUGGACAUCAGAGAUAGGAAAUGUUGGUGAAGGGACGAUGAUUGGAGGUCGCCAUGGCCUAUGGUUCACUUCUUUAUAAGUUCAUAUUCAACUCAUACAGAAUUGGUGUCCUUCAGUUGAAACAAAAAUGAUGCGCUAGGCACAUGGUUUGGGAUUAUCUGUCCGAAAAUAACGUUCUCUCAAAGUCUCCUACUUUUGUGACCACUAAUUGCUUCACUUCUUUACCUCUCGCAAGUGCAUUAAUUACUUGGAGAAUGUUGUUGCUGCUUGCUGGCGGCCACCUUCCACUUUCUCUGUAUUUUGCUAAUAAACUCCCAUUUGACAUUCAGUUAUUUUAGUCAAUUUGGUGGUUCUUGAGUAUUUGAUCUUUAAAGUCAUUGUCAGAGUUUUUAAUAGUCAUUAUAGUCCCUUUUUUAUCCUUUAGGAGGAGUCGAGCUGUAUAAUUCUUAAAAUGAUGAAUGCUCAUUCAUGAGAUGGAUUAACCUCAGCAUUAUAUUA